RNAcentral lists this ribosomal RNA (236 nucleotides) under uncultured bacterium. RNAcentral describes it as "partial 16S ribosomal RNA". It matches the Rfam family "Bacterial small subunit ribosomal RNA", at positions 100 to 334 of the family's 1533-position model. The record is from RNAcentral.
CGGCACGGGUGAGUAACACGUAUCCAACCUGCCGUCUACUCUUGGACAGCCUUCUGAAAGGAAGAUUAAUACAAGAUGGCAUCAUGAGUCCACAUGUUCACAUGGUUAAAGGUAUUCCGGUAGACGAUGGGGAUGCGUUCCAUUAGAUAGUAGGCGGGGUAACGGCCCACCUAGUCUUCGAUGGAUAGGGGUUCUGAGAGGAAGGUCCCCCACAUUGGAACUGAGACACGGUCCAA